Molecule: ribosomal RNA, 304 nt
Filed under: uncultured bacterium
Lineage: Bacteria
Description: partial 16S ribosomal RNA
Rfam family: Bacterial small subunit ribosomal RNA
Source: RNAcentral
CAGCAGUCGCCGCGGGAAUACAGAGGGUGCGAGCGUUAAUCGGAUUUACUGGGCGUAAAGCGUGCGUAGGCGGCUAAUUGAGUCGGAUGUGAAAUCCCCGAGCUUAACUUGGGAAUUGCAUUCGAUACUGGUUAGCUAGAGUGUGGGAGAGGAUGGUAGAAUUCCAGGUGUAGCGGUGAAAUGCGUAGAGAUCUGGAGGAAUACCGAUGGCGAAGGCAGCCAUCUGGCCUAAUACUGACGCUGAGGUACGAAAGCAUGGGGAGCAAACAGGAUUAGAUACCCCAGUAGUCCCUGUCUCUUAUAC